Molecule: long non-coding RNA, 2247 nt
Filed under: Cyanistes caeruleus (blue tit)
Lineage: Eukaryota; Metazoa; Chordata; Aves; Passeriformes; Paridae
Description: lncRNA (ENSCCEG00000004310.1)
Source: RNAcentral
AUGUUUUUUCUCAGAUAUUCCCAGUUUUUUCCCAGUUUUUCCCCAAUUUUUCCCAUUUUUCCCAGUUUUUCCCAUUCUCCCCCCUUUUUUCCUUUUUUCCCAUUUCUCCCUGUUUUUUCCCAUUUCUCCCAGUUUUUCCCCAAUUUUUCCCAGUUUUUCCCCAAUUUUUCCCAGUUUUUCCCCAAUUUUUCCCAGUUUUUCCCCAUUUUUUCCCAGUUUUUCCCCAUUUUUCCCAGUUUUUCCCCAUUUUUUCCCAGUUUUUCCCAUUUUCUCGCCAUUUUUGCAUGUUUUUUCCCAGAUUUUCCCAGUUUUUUCCCCUUUUUUUCCCAUUUUUCCCAGUUUUUCCCAUUCUCCCCCCUUUUUUUCCUUUUUUCCCAUUUCUCCCUGGUUUUUCCCAUUUCUCCCUGGUUUUUCCCCAUUUUUUCCCAGUUUUUCCCCAUUUUUUCCCAUUUUUCCCCAUUUUCCCCAGUUUUUCCCCAAUUUUUCCCAGUUUUUCCCCACUUUUUCCCAGUUUCUCCCCAUUUUUUCCCAGUUUUUCCCAGUUUGUCCCCCAUUUUUCCCAUUUUCUCGCCAUCUUUGCAUGUUUUUUCUCAGAUAUUCCCAGUUUUUUCCCAGUUUUUCCCCAAUUUUUCCCAUUUUUCCCAGUUUUUCCCAUUCUCCCCCCUUUUUUCCUUUUUUCCCAUUUCUCCCUGUUUUUUCCCAUUUCUCCCAGUUUUUCCCCAAUUUUUCCCAGUUUUUCCCCAAUUUUUCCCAGUUUUUCCCCAAUUUUUCCCAGUUUUUCCCCAUUUUUUCCCAGUUUUUCCCCAUUUUUCCCAGUUUUUCCCCAUUUUUUCCCAGUUUUUCCCAUUUUCUCGCCAUUUUUGCAUGUUUUUUCCCUUUUUCCCAGUUUUUCCCCAUUUUUCCCAGUUUUUCCCCAUUUUUUCCCAGUUUUUCCCAUUUUCUCGCCAUUUUUGCAUGUUUUUUCCCAGAUUUUCCCAGUUUUUUCCCCUUUUUUUCCCAUUUUUCCCAGUUUUUCCCAUUCUCCCCCCUUUUUUUCCUUUUUUCCCAUUUCUCCCUGGUUUUUCCCAUUUCUCCCUGGUUUUUCCCCAUUUUUUCCCAGUUUUUCCCCAUUUUUUCCCAUUUUUCCCCAUUUUCCCCAGUUUUUCCCCAAUUUUUCCCAGUUUUUCCCCAAUUUUUCCCAGUUUCUCCCCAUUUUUUCCCAGUUUUUCCCAGUUUGUCCCCCAUUUUUCCCAUUUUCUCGCCAUCUUUGCAUGUUUUUUCUCAGAUAUUCCCAGUUUUUUCCCAGUUUUUCCCAAUUUUUCCCAUUUUUCUCAGUUUUUCCCAUUCUCCCCCCUUUUUUUCCUUUUUUCCCAUUUCUCCCUGUUUUUUCCCAUUUUUCCCAGUUUUUCCCCAUUUUUUCCCAUUUUUUCCCCAGAUUUUCCCCAUUUUUCCCAGUUUUUCCCCAUUUUUCCCAGUUUUUCCCCAUUUUUUCCCAGUUUUUCCCAUUUUCUCGCCAUUUUUGCAUGUUUUUUCCCAGAUUUUCCCGGUUUUUUCCCCCUUUUUUCCCAUUUUUCCCAGUUUUUCCCAUUUUCCCCCCUUUUUUUCCUUUUUUCUCAUUUCUCCCUGGUUUUUCCCGUUUCUCCCUGGUUUUUCCCAUUUCUCCCUGGUUUUUCCCAUUUCUCCCUGGUUUUUCCCCAGGUUUUCCCAGCUUUUCCCACUUUUUUUCCCGUUUCCCCCUUUUUUCCCCUUUUUCUCCCAUUUCUCCCCAUUUUUUUCUGGUUUUUUUCUCAUUUUUUCCCAUUUUUCCCUGUUCAUUUCUCUUUUUUUUCCCCCAGUUUUUCCCCUCUUUUUUCCCAUUUUUUCCCAAUUUUCCCCCAGUUUUCCCCCCCAUUUUCCCCCCUGCUGUUCAUUCCCGGUGUUCAUUCCCAUUCCGGGUGUUCAUUCCCGGUGUUUAUUCCCAUUCCUGCUGUUUAUUCCAGGUGUUCAUUCCCAUUCCUGCUGUUUAUUCCAGGUGUUCAUUCCCAUUCCCGGUGUUUAUUCCCGGUGUUUAUUCCCAUUCCCGGUGUUCAUUCCGGGUGUUCAUUCCCAUUCCUGCUGUUUAUUCCAGGUGUUCAUUCCCAUUCCGGGUGUUCAUUCCGGGUGUUCAUUCCCAUUCCCGGUGUUCAUUCCGGGUGUUCAUUCCCAUUCCGGGUGUUCAUUCCCAUUCCCGUUGUUUAUUCCGGGUGUUCAUUCCCAUUCCCGGUGUUUAUUCCCAUUCCCAUUGUUCAU